This is a long non-coding RNA of Cydia strobilella, 230 nucleotides long. RefSeq lists it as uncharacterized. The record is from RefSeq and is a predicted model, not a curated record. The transcript is spliced from 3 exons. Lineage: Eukaryota; Metazoa; Arthropoda; Insecta; Lepidoptera; Tortricidae.
UGACUACCAUCACCGCUGCCAUCAGUAACUCCCGCAAGACGAACUCUGGUACCGAGAUCAUCGACAACCUCGUGAACAAGUGCGGCCCAUACUUCAAGCAAUCCGGAUACCAAGAUAUCACCGUCGACGUGACCGUUAUCAAAGAAAGCUGCAGUAAAGCCAACGGCGAUAAUGUUGACUGGAAUGGCAACGGUAACAACGGAGGCAGCACUGGAGGCAGUACUGAAGGC